GCUUGCUGGUGGAUUAGUGGCGAACGGGUGAGUAACACGUGAGUAACCUGCCCUUAACUCUGGGAUAAGCCUGGGAAACUGGGUCUAAUACCGGAUAUGACUCCUCAUCGCAUGGUGGGGGGUGGAAAGCUUUAUUGUGGUUUUGGAUGGACUCGCGGCCUAUCAGCUUGUUGGUGAGGUAAUGGCUCACCAAGGCGACGACGGGUAGCCGGCCUGAGAGGGUGACCGGCCACACUGGGACUGAGACACGGCCCAGACUCCUACGGGAGGCAGCAGUGGGGAAUAUUGCACAAUGGGCGAAAGCCUGAUGCAGCGACGCCGCGUGAGGGAUGACGGCCUUCGGGUUGUAAACCUCUUUCAGUAGGGAAGAAGCGAAAGUGACGGUACCUGCAGAAGAAGCGCCGGCUAACUACGUGCCAGCAGCCGCGGUAAUACGUAGGGCGCAAGCGUUAUCCGGAAUUAUUGGGCGUAAAGAGCUCGUAGGCGGUUUGUCGCGUCUGCCGUGAAAGUCCGGGGCUCAACUCCGGAUCUGCGGUGGGUACGGGCAGACUAGAGUGAUGUAGGGGAGACUGGAAUUCCUGGUGUAGCGGUGAAAUGCGCAGAUAUCAGGAGGAACACCGAUGGCGAAGGCAGGUCUCUGGGCAUUAACUGACGCUGAGGA
RNAcentral lists this ribosomal RNA (661 nucleotides) under Arthrobacter sp. Its description in RNAcentral is "bacterial SSU rRNA". It matches the Rfam family "Bacterial small subunit ribosomal RNA", at positions 78 to 752 of the family's 1533-position model. The record is from RNAcentral. Lineage: Bacteria; Bacillati; Actinomycetota; Actinomycetes; Micrococcales; Micrococcaceae.